GACGAACGCUGGCGGCGUGCUUAACACAUGCAAGUCGAACGGAAAGGCCCUGCUUUUGUGGGGUGCUCGAGUGGCGAACGGGUGAGUAACACGUGAGUAACCUGCCCUUGACUUUGGGAUAACUUCAGGAAACUGGGGCUAAUACCGGAUAGGAGCUCCUGCUGCAUGGUGGGGGUUGGAAAGUUUCGGCGGUUGGGGAUGGACUCGCGGCUUAUCAGCUUGUUGGUGGGGUAGUGGCUUACCAAGGCUUUGACGGGUAGCCGGCCUGAGAGGGUGACCGGGCACCAUGGGGCUGAGGUACGGCCCAGACUGCUACGGGGGGCAGCAGUGGGGAAUAUUGCACAAUGGGCGGAAGCCUGAUGCAGCGACGCCGCGUGCGGGAUGACGGCCUUCGGGGUGUGAACCGCUUUCGCCUGUGACGAAGCGUGAGUGACGGUAAUGGGUAAAGAAGCACCGGCUAACUACGUG
RNAcentral lists this ribosomal RNA (468 nucleotides) under uncultured bacterium. RNAcentral's name for it is "partial 16S ribosomal RNA". It matches the Rfam family "Bacterial small subunit ribosomal RNA", at positions 28 to 507 of the family's 1533-position model. The record is from RNAcentral.